AGCUUUGUGCAGUGGCAGUAUCGCAGCCAAUGAGGUUUAUCUGAGCACAAUUAUUGCUAACUGGAAACUUUUCCCAAUACCCCACUGUAAUUACUUGCAAUACAGUCAGCACUGGCAAUUUUUGAUAGUCUCUAUGGAGA
Molecule: small nuclear RNA, 140 nt
Filed under: Cercocebus atys (sooty mangabey)
Lineage: Eukaryota; Metazoa; Chordata; Mammalia; Primates; Cercopithecidae
Description: U4 spliceosomal RNA (ENSCATG00000000298.1)
Rfam family: U4 spliceosomal RNA
About the family: U4 small nuclear RNA (U4 snRNA) is a component of the major U2-dependent spliceosome.
Source: Rfam by way of RNAcentral